UACGGAAGGCAGCAGUGGGGAAUAUUGCACAAUGGGCGCAAGCCUGAUGCAGCCAUGCCGCGUGUAUGAAGAAGGCCUUCGGGUUGUAAAGUACUUUCAGUCGUGAGGAAGGUGUUAAGGCUAAUAACCUUAGCAAUUGACGUUAGCGACAGAAGAAGCACCGGCUAACUCCGUGCCAGCAGCCGCGGUAAUACGGAGGGUGCGAGCGUUAAUCGGAAUUACUGGGCGUAAAGGGCACGCAGGCGGUUAAUUAAGUUGGAUGUGAAAUCCCCGGGCUUAACCUGGGAAUGGCAUUCAAGACUGGUUAGCUAGAGUCUUGUAGAGGGGGUAGAAUUCCACGUGUAGCGGUGAAAUGCGUAGAGAUGUGGAGGAAUACCGGUGGCGAAGGCGGCCCCUGGACAAAGACUGACGCUCAUGUGCGAAAGCGUGGGGAGCAAACAGGGAUUAGAUACC
RNAcentral lists this ribosomal RNA (453 nucleotides) under uncultured bacterium. Its description in RNAcentral is "bacterial SSU rRNA". It matches the Rfam family "Bacterial small subunit ribosomal RNA", at positions 340 to 786 of the family's 1533-position model. The record is from RNAcentral.